UUGAAGAGUUUGAUCAUGGCUCAGAUUGAACGCUGGCGGCAGGCCUAACACAUGCAAGUCGAGCGGUAGCACAGAGAGCUUGCUCUCGGGUGACGAGCGGCGGACGGGUGAGUAAUGUCUGGGAAACUGCCUGAUGGAGGGGGAUAACUACUGGAAACGGUAGCUAAUACCGCAUAACGUCGCAAGACCAAAGAGGGGGACCUUCGGGCCUCUUGCCAUCAGAUGUGCCCAGAUGGGAUUAGCUAGUAGGUGGGGUAACGGCUCACCUAGGCGACGAUCCCUAGCUGGUCUGAGAGGAUGACCAGCCACACUGGAACUGAGACACGGUCCAGACUCCUACGGGAGGCAGCAGUGGGGAAUAUUGCACAAUGGGCGCAAGCCUGAUGCAGCCAUGCCGCGUGUAUGAAGAAGGCCUUCGGGUUGUAAAGUACUUUCAGCGGGGAGGAAGGCGAUAAGGUUAAUAACCUUGUCGAUUGACGUUACCCGCAGAAGAAGCACCGGCUAACUCCGUGCCAGCAGCCGCGGUAAUACGGAGGGUGCAAGCGUUAAUCGGAAUUACUGGGCGUAAAGCGCACGCAGGCGGUCUGUCAAGUCGGAUGUGAAAUCCCCGGGCUCAACCUGGGAACUGCAUUCGAAACUGGCAGGCUAGAGUCUUGUAGAGGGGGGUAGAAUUCCAGGUGUAGCGGUGAAAUGCGUAGAGAUCUGGAGGAAUACCGGUGGCGAAGGCGGCCCCCUGGACAAAGACUGACGCUCAGGUGCGAAAGCGUGGGGAGCAAACAGGAUUAGAUACCCUGGUAGUCCACGCCGUAAACGAUGUCGACUUGGAGGUUGUGCCCUUGAGGCGUGGCUUCCGGAGCUAACGCGUUAAGUCGACCGCCUGGGGAGUACGGCCGCAAGGUUAAAACUCAAAUGAAUUGACGGGGGCCCGCACAAGCGGUGGAGCAUGUGGUUUAAUUCGAUGCAACGCGAAGAACCUUACCUACUCUUGACAUCCAGAGAACUUUCCAGAGAUGGAUUGGUGCCUUCGGGAACUCUGAGACAGGUGCUGCAUGGCUGUCGUCAGCUCGUGUUGUGAAAUGUUGGGUUAAGUCCCGCAACGAGCGCAACCCUUAUCCUUUGUUGCCAGCGGUUAGGCCGGGAACUCAAAGGAGACUGCCAGUGAUAAACUGGAGGAAGGUGGGGAUGACGUCAAGUCAUCAUGGCCCUUACGAGUAGGGCUACACACGUGCUACAAUGGCGCAUACAAAGAGAAGCGACCUCGCGAGAGCAAGCGGACCUCAUAAAGUGCGUCGUAGUCCGGAUUGGAGUCUGCAACUCGACUCCAUGAAGUCGGAAUCGCUAGUAAUCGUAGAUCAGAAUGCUACGGUGAAUACGUUCCCGGGCCUUGUACACACCGCCCGUCACACCAUGGGAGUGGGUUGCAAAAGAAGUAGGUAGCUUAACCUUCGGGAGGGCGCUUACCACUUUGUGAUUCAUGACUGGGGUGAAGUCGUAACAAGGUAACCGUAGGGGAACCUGCGGUUGGAUCACCUCCUU
RNAcentral lists this ribosomal RNA (1536 nucleotides) under Enterobacter cloacae. Its description in RNAcentral is "bacterial SSU rRNA". It matches the Rfam family "Bacterial small subunit ribosomal RNA". The record is from RNAcentral. RNAcentral also lists the same sequence under 1 other name. Lineage: Bacteria; Pseudomonadati; Pseudomonadota; Gammaproteobacteria; Enterobacterales; Enterobacteriaceae.